GGGCCUAUAGCUCAGCUGGUAGAGCAGUCGGCUCAUAACCGAUUGGUCACAGGUUCGAGUCCUGUUGGGCCCACCA
Molecule: transfer RNA, 76 nt
Filed under: Paludifilum halophilum
Lineage: Bacteria; Bacillati; Bacillota; Bacilli; Caryophanales; Thermoactinomycetaceae
Description: tRNA-Met
Rfam family: tRNA
About the family: Transfer RNA (tRNA) molecules are approximately 80 nucleotides in length. Their secondary structure includes four short double-helical elements and three loops (D, anti-codon, and T loops).
Source: RNAcentral